AUGUUGACAACCGAAAGGUAGGCUUAGAAGCAGCCAUCCUUUAAAGAAAGCGUAACAGCUCAUUGGUUUAGUUUUUUUGCGUUGAAAAUGUUUGGAACUAAAAUUAUUUGUCGAAGUUGUAGAUUUUUAAAAAAAAAUGGUAGCAGAACGUUCUGUAAAUCUAAGAAGUUUUAUAGUGAUAUAAAAUGGAGAUAUCAGAAAUGAAAAUGUUGGUAUGAGUAACGAUAAACAAUGUGCAAAACAUUGUCGCCUUAAGUCCCAGGUUUCCAAAACAAGGCUAAUCCGUUUUGGUGUUAAUCGGCCUCUAAGAACAAAAACGAAAGUUUUGAUUCGAUGAGAGAUAUAAAGAACUUUUAAAAGUGACAAAGUACAAAUAUUAUUUUUAUUUCAUGGUUUAAAUAAAAGUUUUAUAGUGCUUUCUGGAAAUAGCUUUUAAAAACUGAAAAACCGUACCUUAAACCGACGCAGGUGGACAAGUUUAGUAAACUAAGGCGCUUGAGAGAAUUAUGUUGAAGGAACUCGGCAAAAUGACUCCGUAACUUCGGAAUAAGGAGUGACUUUAUAAAGGCAACUUUAUAAAGUUGUCACAAAAUCGGGGACAGCGACUGUUUAACAAAAACACAGGUCUCUGCUAAUUCGUAAGAAGAUGUAUUGAGACUGACGCCUGCCCAGUGCUGCAAGAUUAAAGGAAAAGGUCUUUUGGCUUCAACCCUAACUCCCAGUAAACGGCGGCUGUAAUCUUGACGGUCCUAAGGUAGCGAAAUUCCUUGGCAUUUAAUUGGUGUCCUGCAUGAAUGGCGUAACGACUGUCCCACUGUCUCCAACAUAAACUCAGUGAAAUUGAAUUUUCCGUGAAGAUGCGGAAUUCCUGUGGCUAGACGGAAAGACCCCGUGCACCUUUACUACAGUUAUAUAUUGUAAUAAAAUUUUUUUUGUGUAGAAUAAGUGGGAAGUUAUUAAUAUCUAUUUACACAAGUAAAUGAGUUAGACAUCGUUGAAAUACCACUCUAAAAAUUUUUUAUUACUUAUUAUUUAAUUAAGACAUUGUAUAAUGGGUAGUUUGACUGGGGCGGUCGCCUCCUAAAGAGUAACGGAGGCGUGCAUAAGGUAAGAUUGAAUUGAAAAUUAUCAAUUUGUAAGCAUAAUAGUAUAUACCUGCUUGACUGUGAGAUUGACAAAUCAAACAGGGACGAAAGUCGGUUAUAGUGAUCCGGUGAUUCUGAGUGGAAAGAUCAUCGCUCAACGAAUAAAAGGUACGCCGGGGAUAAC
Molecule: ribosomal RNA, 1269 nt
Filed under: marine metagenome
Description: bacterial LSU rRNA
Rfam family: Bacterial large subunit ribosomal RNA
Source: RNAcentral